CUCAAAUGCAUGUACCCGCAAAAAGAAACACACAAAGAAACACGCACAUGCAAUGCACACCCUGCUUUUUCUGCGUGAGAACAGCUUCCACUCAUAAACUAUUCAUGCAUGUAGAAAGGGAGAUAAAGAGCAUGUUCACGUAAAUCAAUCCUCUAAGCCAACGUACAGAUGGUGCUCCAAGGAGCGAGGAGGAAAAGGUGGGAGCCUUCAAAGGAAGCUUUUUUUUCCCCCCUCGAAAGCGAGCAAUAUGUUUGGAUAAGAAUAGAACCGCAUGACUUUGAAAUAGCACCUUUUCACUGCGCAUCUGUUUACCUUGAAAGUGUUUCUCCUGCAUUCUCACACUUGACUUGGUGACUUCAUCACUUCCCUGCGGGGCCGGGAAUACAUAAGUGAGUCAUGACGCUCAGCGGGAUUUCUCUCUGCACGCGAGCAGCAACUGGUAAGGGAGGGUCUAAGCUUGACCGGUCAUAUCUGCACUGUAAAAAAAGUAUGUUGAUUUUACAUUAAUAAACUGUUAAAUCGCAACGGUAAAAGACCCUUGAUUAAAAAUAGGUAAUCUUCUGUUUCUAUCACAUUGAAAUACCGUAUAUGUAUAUAUCAGCGCAAACCGUAAUUAAUGCAUCUAUUUCUUGUAAGAAAUACAUUUGAUUUGAGUUACAUUUGAGUUAAUUGUACUAAACAGUGUACCGAUAACGGAAAUACACCGUAUUAUGAAAAACACUGUGUACCGCAAUUUUUACAUUUAUAACUCAGGGAUAAAUGUGUCCCUGUUAAAUGUACGGGCUACUGUGCUGGCAACCGAAAUAUAACGUAUUUUAAAUGCCCUGUUAUUUUUGCAUUGAUUAUUUGUAAAGGAUACAGUUGGUCACUGUUAAUUGCACUAAAAAUUGUACUGAUGACGGUAAUCCACCGUAAUAUGACCGUUUUUGCAUGUAUUACUAUUUAAAAAUACAUUUUGUUACUGUUAAAUGUACGGACUAUUUUGCUGCAAGUGGAAAUAUAACGUAUUAUGGCAUUCACAGCAGGUCCAGUAUUUUUUGCAUUUAUUAUUUGUACAAACUACAGUUUAUAAUUGUUAAUUGCAAUGACGUUUGUACUGAUAAUGGAAAUACAUCGUAAUAUGAACAACAAUCCAUACCGUAGUUUUUAGAUGUAUUACUCCUUAAAAAUAAAUUGCGUUACUGUAAAUUAUACGGAAUAUUUAAUUGCGAAUGGAAAUAUAACGUAUUGUGAAUUUAACAGCCAGUCCUGUAGUCUUUGCAUUUAUUAUUUGUGCAAAAUACAGUUUAUAACUGUUAAUUGCACAAAAUAUUGUACUGAAUAUAUAUAACAGGCAAUACUGCAAUUUUUACAAAGAUUAUCUGUGAAAAAACACAUUUAGUCAAGGUUACAUUUACCACUGUACUGAUUACAGAAAUACUAAUAUAAAUAGCAGUUAGUCACCACUGUUAGUGUACUAACCGUUGUGCUAAUAACAUAAAUAUACCGUGGGGAAGUUGACAUGGGUAUAUUAACCAAUUCGAUUUUUUAUGGAAAGGCUGGGAAAGAGAGACAGAGAAAGGGAGACAAAUUGAGGGAUAUAGAGAGACAGAAGGAAAGAGAGAGACACGACAGGAGGGCAGAAGUGUGGCUGUGUUAAAAAAAAAACAACGUUCGAAGAUUGAACUUUUCAACUCCACUUCAGAGCCAUUUCUACGCACUCUGCAUUGCUGGAACAACGGCCUGACUGACUCCAGGCUACAUUUCUUCUUGAGGUAACUUGCCUACAUAAUCAUCUGAGCUAUAUUUUAAUUUGAUGCUUUGUUUUCUACAAUUUUGCAUCACUGUUGCAAAAACGUUGUUCUGCACUGAAUGUUAGCUAGCUAGCUAACAUUAGUUUACCAAACGUUGGCUAAGGAAAUGUUUGAAUACAAUUACUGUGGCAGGUCGGUUAAAACACCGAGGGGUUAUGUGCUUCAUUGCAACCUUCAUAGAAAUGAACCACGUUGUUUGUUUAAGUGCGUUGAAGCUGGUUGCAAAAAGACCUUUGUUCGAUAUGGAGCAUUUAAGGCUCAUUUCUACCGGACACAUAUCGUUAACUUAUCAGCUUCUGUGAACGUUACUGUCGGGACAGCUCUCAAAUGCGGUGUGGCGUUAUGUGAAAGUCAGUGUCGAAAUACAAAACAGCUAAUCGCUCAUUUGAAGGAGCAUCUCUUGGAAGGACGCGCUGUGAGUUAUCCAGUGAGUGGAUGUAAAAACGUUUUCAUGGUCAAAUUCCCAUUCACCGCUCACAAGUCGCACAAAAUGUAUACAAAAAUGUAUAAUUGAUGGGAUUAAUUAGAUGUGCAGUUAUCCUGGUUGUUAAAAAAUGAACCACAUGAAACGUGAAGACAAGUCUUGAUUGAGUCUUGAGAGUGAAUGUCAUAGUGUCAGUCCAGCAGUUCCCCUGUGUUUGUUUGCUUUGCCUGUGUUUCCCCUGUCUCUGCAAGGAGCUGUGGUCUCCUCCUGUUUAUUCCCGAAGGACGUGGCUGGAACAGCUGACUGCAAUCAGCCAUCAGGGGACUCUCCUACAUCAACCCGGGUCUUCCUGCCAUUCAGCGCCAGAUCGUUCUGUCGUCAGAGUGACAACUAUAGAGGAUCAUCCCAAUCCGCAGUGAACACCUGAGGAUACAAGUCUUCAAGCAGAAGGUCCAGAACUGCUCCACUUUCUGGAUGUUGAUUUACCAUCAGCUUUAUUUAAUAUUUCCUGAUGUUGACUGAAAUAUGAUAUGCAAAAUAUUUUUUGCAAUGGAUUUCUGGCAAAUACAGUUGCUGGCAAUUUGCUUUGAACUUUGUAAUAAAAUACCGUAACUCGUACAGUUGUACUGUGUUUAUCUCUGAGAAAGACCUUAAUUAGGUACAAAAUGAAUGCUGUUUUUAAAAAACAUACCGUAUUGUCUUAUACAAACAAAACGGUAAUUUACCGUAUAUUUCACAGGUUUUUUUUUACGGUGUAUCUUUUUUUAAUAGUGGUUUUCUCUAAACAAAACUGUUCUCUGGGAAUGUUACGGGUGCAAAAAACAUACUGUAAUGUCUUAUACGGC
This is a long non-coding RNA of Gasterosteus aculeatus aculeatus (three-spined stickleback), 3062 nucleotides long. Lineage: Eukaryota; Metazoa; Chordata; Actinopteri; Perciformes; Gasterosteidae. The record is from Ensembl.